CAGUAGCCACGGGAAUACGUAGGGUGCGAGCGUUAAUCGGAAUUACUGGGCGUAAAGCGUGCGCAGGCGGUUCGUUAAGUCUGCUGUGAAAUCCCCGGGCUCAACCUGGGAAUGGCAGUGGAUACUGGCAAGCUAGAGUGUGUCAGAGGAUGGUGGAAUUCCCGGUGUAGCGGUGAAAUGCGUAGAGAUCGGGAGGAACAUCAGUGGCGAAGGCGGCCAUCUGGGACAACACUGACGCUGAGGCACGAAAGCGUGGGGAGCAAACAGGAUUAGAUACCCGCGUAGUCCCUGUCUCUUAUAC
Molecule: ribosomal RNA, 301 nt
Filed under: uncultured bacterium
Lineage: Bacteria
Description: partial 16S ribosomal RNA
Rfam family: Bacterial small subunit ribosomal RNA
Source: RNAcentral